UUACUACUCCCUCCAUCCGGAGUUACUUGUCACAAAAAUGAAUAAUAAUGGAUGUAUCUAGAUGUAUUUUAUUUCUAGAUACAUCCAUUAUUAUCCACUUUUGUGACAAGUAAUUUCGGACGGAGG
Molecule: non-coding RNA, 126 nt
Organism: Hordeum vulgare subsp. vulgare (domesticated barley)
Lineage: Eukaryota; Viridiplantae; Streptophyta; Magnoliopsida; Poales; Poaceae
Source: Rfam